AGUGCUUGCAAAAUCUAAUAUAUG
Molecule: non-coding RNA, 24 nt
Filed under: Arabidopsis thaliana (thale cress)
Lineage: Eukaryota; Viridiplantae; Streptophyta; Magnoliopsida; Brassicales; Brassicaceae
Source: RNAcentral